This 29-nucleotide non-coding RNA is filed under the name Rattus norvegicus (Norway rat). Lineage: Eukaryota; Metazoa; Chordata; Mammalia; Rodentia; Muridae. The record is from RNAcentral.
UAAGCUAAAUUAUGCAGAAAUUGAGGAAA